Molecule: non-coding RNA, 24 nt
Filed under: Arabidopsis thaliana (thale cress)
Lineage: Eukaryota; Viridiplantae; Streptophyta; Magnoliopsida; Brassicales; Brassicaceae
Source: RNAcentral
UGCAUUUAAUGUGUGUCUCCUGAA